GACGAAGGAUGCAAGCGUUAUCCGGAUUCAUUGGGUUUAAAGGGUGCGUAGGCGGCCCGGUAGGUCAGUGGUGAAAGCCUGUUGCUUAACAACAGAACUGCCAUUGAUACUGCUGGGCUUGAGUACAGAUGCUGUGGGCGGAAUAUGACAUGUAGUGGUGAAAUACAUAGAGAUGUCAUAGAACACCGAUUGCGAAGGCAGCUCACAAAACUGUAACUGACGCUGAGGCGCGAAAGUGCGGGGAUCAAACAGG
RNAcentral lists this ribosomal RNA (253 nucleotides) under uncultured bacterium. Its description in RNAcentral is "partial 16S ribosomal RNA". It matches the Rfam family "Bacterial small subunit ribosomal RNA", at positions 524 to 776 of the family's 1533-position model. The record is from RNAcentral.